UCCUGUUAUCUUUGAAUAGAUAAGAGGGUAGACACCGCUUACAACUUCAUUGAUUAUUGUCUUGUAACCUGUAAAGAAUAGAGCACUUAUAAUGAAUAGAAAUGUUUCCCGGGGAUUCUGAUUAGAUUAUUUAAACUACCAGAUUAAAAUAGUGUAUAAAUAUACAGGAAGAUAUUUUGCAAGAAAGGGAGAAUGUGUAAGAAGUCAAAGUUAAAUGCAAGGUGAUAAAUACAAAACCAUAAAUAUGUAUACCACAGUGAUACCACAAACCCCUUCCCCAAUGGCUGUGAUAUUUCUUCUCUUUCUCUCUUAAGAAAGCAAUAAGAAGGAUGUUUGAGAGGAAACGAAAGGAAGGUAGAGGGAAAAAAGGAGUAACAAUUUACGAGUCCCCUGAAUUUACGAUUUGGCGGGUGGAGAGAAAGGAAAUAAAGAAAGGAUGAAAUAAAAAGCAAAAGAAAGAAACAAAGAGAAAGAAAGAGAGAGACGGACAGACGGACAAAAAGAAGUAAAAAGGAGAAAGAAAGAAGAAAAGAGUCUAGUGGUGAAACGAGGUGGUUAACUCGUACUCGAGAAUCGCUUGGUAACUUCCAAGACUCCGUGUCGAGUACUCAAAGAGUAAACUCGAGAGCAAGAGUGAGAGAGAAGGAUAGAAAGAAUACAUGAUGAUAACCACGUGGAGUCAGAGUGAAGCCGUAAAUGGUAACGCGAGAGGAAGAUGGGACCAGCAAGCAAGCAAAAGGGGGUAGAAAACUAGUUCUCCUCUUCGAUGCUCACGAUCUUACCUGGGUUACUGCACACCAACGUAGCCAAAGUAAAUUUAACAACUGUGUGCCAACGUUUUUAUCUCUGUCUGUCUGUCUGUCUGUUUGUCUACCUGCCUGUCUGUGUAUAUUUGACACAACGUAACAAACAAUAUCGUGGAUAAAAUAAUAUCGUUUAGAUGUCUCUCGUGUUAAAGAUGACUCGACAAAGGUAAAUAAAAAUUUAUUCAAGAUCAUAUUUAAAACAGUAUCGAAUGAAUUCUAAUUUAUACAAAACCGAACGCGUUCUCCAAAACGUGCUUAUAAACUGAACGUUUCUGAUAAGUUUAGAGAAUAAAAAAGAGAGAACCUAUCUCUCGGGGAACAACCUUUUUCUGUCAACGUCAAAUCGAAGGAAAAAAAAAGAAAAAAUAAAAUAAAAUAAAAGACAAGUUAAAAUAGAAAAAGAAAAGGGGAACCGAGGAGAAUGAUCCAAGAGAUCGAGACUUUCGUGAAUCCGGAUCCGUGGGUCGAAUCCGAUCCAGCAUCUCGCGUGUCGAGACACGCUUCGCUCAACUGUGUUCCUUCCCUCUUCCCUGUCCCUCUUCCUUGUCCCUCUUCCUCUCCACCUUCUCACUCGCUCUGUCUUUCUCUCUCUCUCUUUUGUGUAUUCUUUCACGGUCCCUCCAGUCCCUCCUGAAGAGUUUCUAUCUCUUUCUUUCUUCCUCACUCGUGUGUUAAGUCCACCAUCUCGCUCUUUCUUAUUCUGGAUUGACCAGUUGUUCCUUUUGUUUUUCACUAACAUGAGUGAGCAAGCGAAAGAGAGAAAAAUAGACAGGGAAAGAAAAACAGAGAAGGAGAAAGAGAAAAGAGAAAGAAAAGAACUGGAUGGGUGUACGAGAGAGGAACUGAAGAGAGAACAUCUCUUGAAGAGGACCGUAUUUUCUCUCUUUUACUUCCCAAAGAAUAAGAGAGAAAGAGAAAGAGAAUGCGAGGAGCAACAAGAGCAACCGUGACGCCGUACAAAGAGAGCAACGGAUCUAAGGAAGAAAAAGGAGGAAAAAACGGGCCUUCGGGGCAAACGGAAAAGGAUAGGUCGUUGGUUUGGUUGAGAGGGCAGAAGAGAAAA
Molecule: long non-coding RNA, 1869 nt
Filed under: Polistes fuscatus (common paper wasp)
Lineage: Eukaryota; Metazoa; Arthropoda; Insecta; Hymenoptera; Vespidae
Description: uncharacterized LOC122515847
Source: RNAcentral